CACGUAGGGUGCAAGCGUUGUCCGGAUUUAUUGGGCGUAAAGAGCUCGUAGGUGGUUCGGUAAGUCGGGUGUGAAAACUCUGGGCUCAACUCAGAGACGCCACCCGAUACUGCUGUGACUCGAGUCUGGUAGGGGAGUGUGGAAUUCCCAGUGUAGCGGUGAAAUGCGCAGAUAUUGGGAGGAACACCAGUGGCGAAGGCGGCACUCUGGGCCAGUACUGACACUGAGGAGCGAAAGCGUGGGUAGCGAACAGG
RNAcentral lists this ribosomal RNA (254 nucleotides) under uncultured bacterium. RNAcentral describes it as "partial 16S ribosomal RNA". It matches the Rfam family "Bacterial small subunit ribosomal RNA", at positions 524 to 776 of the family's 1533-position model. The record is from RNAcentral.